Molecule: long non-coding RNA, 819 nt
Organism: Coregonus clupeaformis (lake whitefish)
Lineage: Eukaryota; Metazoa; Chordata; Actinopteri; Salmoniformes; Salmonidae
Exons: 2
Source: RefSeq, a predicted model, not a curated record
AUUUACCAUUUACAUAGUGUAAUUUAUUGACGGUCACCAACUAGCCCCGGAGAUAGGCUAUCCAAAGUCAAACCAACUUUGCCACCAUCGCACACCAGCCGACUGAAGCAAAUUGGCGAAAGAAGUUGGCUAGCACUAGCUAGUCUAAGCGACUUCAAGACACAAGACCUGGUUAGACUGUUUCAAGUUAUCUUAGAAGGGUUGUGACUAAGACGGCCAACUAUUUGCUUCUGUUGACAGCUCCAGGGGGAAGGAAAUGGGCCAUUAUUUUUUCCAUCCGGCGUCUCACCAGGACACCAUCCAGUCCUUGAAUGAAUUCCCCAGAUGUGUGGCGAGGGAUAGGUUGUCUAAUCCCCAACUUGGCCUUCCGUGUGGAAAUUGAUGUCAUCCCCAUCCAGCCACAACCGGGCACAUCACAGGAGUUUGCCCGGGAACCAGACUGAAAAGCCAUCAUUAGGUUAGCCUGUGGAGGGGAAAAAGUUUCCUCCAAAGGCAGAAUGGGUCCGUUCGUUAGCUCGGGAAUGAGGCAGCAAACCAAGUAAUCAACAGAGGGGAAUUGUGGGUCAUGUAAAACUAUUGGCUGCUGCAGCUGGCAGCUUGGGUACUUAUAUACUCUAUGGGUGAGACUGUUCUUCCGUAGGGUAGGUUGGUGGGGAGUCACUGCACGUGCGGGGCGUGUGUGUGUGCUACGCCUACGAUGAACAAGUGGUCUGACAUACAGUUCCGACCAAUUAUAUGGGCACCCUUGUACCUUUUAUUGAAUAAUUCCCCAUUUCUUCUCAAAUAAAUUGAAAAAUAAAUAAAUAAAGCUUUUGGUCA